Molecule: ribosomal RNA, 388 nt
Filed under: uncultured bacterium
Lineage: Bacteria
Description: bacterial SSU rRNA
Rfam family: Bacterial small subunit ribosomal RNA
Source: RNAcentral
AUUGAACGCUGGCGGCAUGCCUUACACAUGCAAGUCGAACGGCAGCACGGGGGCAACCCUGGUGGCGAGUGGCGAACGGGUGAGUAAUGCAUCGGAACGUGCCCCGUAGCGGGGGAUAACCAGUCGAAAGACUGGCUAAUACCGCAUACGCUCCACGGAGGAAAGCAGGGGAUCGCAAGACCUUGCACUAUGGGAGCGGCCGAUGCCCGAUUAGCUAGUUGGUGAGGUAAAGGCUCACCAAGGCGACGACGGGUAGCCGGCCUGAGAGGGCGACCGGCCACACUGGGACUGAGACACGGCCCAGACUCCUACGGGAGGGCAGCAGUGGGGAAUCUUGCGCAAUGGGCGAAAGCCUGACGCAGCGACGCCGCGUGAGGGAUGACGGCCU